This is a regulatory RNA element of 185 nucleotides. It matches the Rfam family "Lysine riboswitch aptamer". Rfam says of the family: Riboswitches are metabolite binding domains within certain messenger RNAs that serve as precision sensors for their corresponding targets. Allosteric rearrangement of mRNA structure is mediated by ligand binding, and this results in modulation of gene expression. This family includes riboswitches that sense lysine in a number of genes involved in lysine metabolism, including lysC. The record is from Rfam.
CAGUGGGAUGGAGGUUGCAGUUCUUAUAAGUACAGUCACGGAUGUCGUCAAGCGGCAGAUGAGGUGAUUGAAAAGGAAGAAUUGCCGAAAUCAAUCAUCGCUUUGAAGAUGAUCGAUUGGGAUUAGAUCGAACAGGUCUAAUACUGUCACAGGUCAGAUAUGACUUGUGGGGAGCUAUCUUUCAC